GUGAAGCGGGAAAAGCUCAAAUUUAAAAUCUGGCGGUCUCUGGCCGUCCGAGUUGUAAUCUAGAGAAGUAAUGCCCGUGCUGGACCGUGUAUAAGUCUCCUGGGAUGGGGCGUCAUAGAGGGUGAGAAUCCCGUCUUUGACACGGACUACCAGUGCAUUGUGGUAUGCUCUCAAAGAGUCGAGUUGUUUGGGAAUGCAGCUCAAAAUGGGUGGUAAAUUCCAUCUAAAGCUAAAUAUUGGCGAGAGACCGAUAGCGAACAAGUACCGUGAGGGAAAGAUGAAAAGAACUUUGGAAAGAGAGUUAAACAGUACGUGAAAUUGCUGAAAGGGAAACGCUUGAAGUCAGUCGCGUUGGCCGGGGAUCAGCCUUGCUUUUGCAUGGUGUACUUUCUGGUUGACGGGUCAGCAUCAAUUUUGACCGCUGGAAAAAGACCUGGGGAAUGUGGCAGCUUCGGCUGUGUUAUAGCCCCUAGUCGCAUACAGUGGUUGGGAUUGAGGAACUCAGCACGCCGCAAGGCCGGGUUUCGACCACGUUCGUGCUUAGGAUGCUGGCAUAAUGGCUUUAAGCGACCCGUCUUGAAACACGGACCAAGGAGUCUAACAUGCCUGCGAGUAUUUGGGUGGAAAACCCAAGUGCGUAAUGAAAGUGAAAGUUGAGAUCCCUGUCGUGGGGAGCAUCGACGCCCGGACCAGAACUUUUGGGACGGAUCCGCGGUGGAGCAUGUAUGUUGGGACCCGAAAGAUGGUGAACUAUGCCUGAAUAGGGUGAAGCCAGAGGAAACUCUGGUGGAGGCUCGUAGCGAUUCUGACGUGCAAAUCGAUCGUCAAAUUUGGGU
Molecule: ribosomal RNA, 836 nt
Filed under: Agaricus albiceps
Lineage: Eukaryota; Fungi; Basidiomycota; Agaricomycetes; Agaricales; Agaricaceae
Description: partial large subunit ribosomal RNA
Rfam family: Eukaryotic large subunit ribosomal RNA
Source: RNAcentral